AACGCAUAUAGCCGGACAGGUGCCCCUUAAAGAAGGGGAGAAUAGGGAAGUCCGUACGGGAAAUCUGAUUUCCCCAAACGGCGCGGUCCCGCCACUGUAUUCGGGGAGCCGGUCCCGGUCACUGGGUGCUGUACCCGGGAAGGCCGGGCACAGGGCGAUGAUCCGUCAGCCAGGAGACCUGCCUGCCCGGUGUGCUUGCC
Molecule: non-coding RNA, 200 nt
Filed under: Desulfotomaculum sp.
Lineage: Bacteria; Bacillati; Bacillota; Clostridia; Eubacteriales; Desulfotomaculaceae
Also listed under: 1 other name
Source: RNAcentral